AAGAAACUAACUUAUAAUGAUCUGGUCAGACAAAUGGAUACAUUUGGCAAUACAUUCGUUUAACAACAUACAUAUGCAACCAAUUCUCUUUUCUUUUAAGAAAGAGAAGCCUAACUCCUUCCUAAAAUGUCAGUUAAUCACCUAAUCAUAAUCAAUCAUCCUGUUUCCUCUUCUUUAAUCCUUCAUUAAUGAAACGUUCAAUCUUCUCUUUGCCUGUCUUUCUCCUUCAUGCACUUCUUUUGUUUCUUCUACCAAUGAUGAUAGAAAGCGACAAUUUGAUA
RNAcentral lists this unclassified non-coding RNA (281 nucleotides) under Hevea brasiliensis (rubber tree). Lineage: Eukaryota; Viridiplantae; Streptophyta; Magnoliopsida; Malpighiales; Euphorbiaceae. The record is from RNAcentral.